Caretta caretta (loggerhead turtle) is the source of this 594-nucleotide long non-coding RNA. RefSeq lists it as uncharacterized. The record is from RefSeq and is a predicted model, not a curated record. Lineage: Eukaryota; Metazoa; Chordata; Testudines; Cheloniidae.
AAAAUAUUUUCUUUUUUUCAAGUUCAUACUGAAGGCUGAUGGAAAAUUCAGGCGAUGGAAUAUUCAUUCUCUUCGUUACAGGGGCUCUGACUUGUCAAAAUUUGCCAGGGAGAAACUUAGCAGAUGUCACUAUUGGUCUUUCUAUUCCUGGAUCCAAAUAAUAACCUUAUGCUGUGAAGUUUGCAACAGUCUUAGCUCUCCCUGCAAUGUACGAGGGCAGGCUGGCGGAGGGGCGAAAUCCAGCCACAAAGAAUCAAGGAACUCAGAUUUUCCUGCAUUCACGUUUUAGUAGUUUGAUAUCAUGGGAACGAUAGAUGCGACAAAUUAAGCCCCUGGCUUCACGGCGUGAGAAGUUACAAAGGGGAUGAAAUGAAGAAAAGGGCUGGCAACUUACGAGAACAGGAUACUACUUCAUCUCUGCCCUGUCUGAGACCGUGAAAGCCUGCAGUAUAGCUCCUGGAAUGAAAAUACUGAAAUAACAGGUACGAAGUAAACAACCAAGACGGACAUGUAAUGAAACUUGCGACCAUCAGAGAGGAGAGCAGGAUUAGCUCCUCCCCAGCGUAACAGAGCCACGAACGAAUACGGUUUUCC